UACGUCGGGUGCGAGCGUUAAUCGGAAUUACUGGGCGUAAAGGGUGCGCAGGCGGUUCUGCAAGUCAGGCGUGAAAUCCCCGGGCUUAACCUGGGAAUGGCGCUUGAAACUACGGGACUGGAGUAUGGCAGAGGGAGGUGGAAUUCCGCGUGUAGCGGUGAAAUGCGCAGAUAUCAGGAGGAACACCAAUUGCGAAGGCAGCUCGCUGGGACGUAACUGACGCUGAGACGCGAAAGCGUGGGGAGCAAACAGG
This 253-nucleotide ribosomal RNA is filed under the name uncultured bacterium. RNAcentral's name for it is "partial 16S ribosomal RNA". It matches the Rfam family "Bacterial small subunit ribosomal RNA", at positions 524 to 776 of the family's 1533-position model. The record is from RNAcentral.